ACAUGCAAGUCGAGCGGGGAAGGUAGCUUGCUACUGGACCUAGCGGCGGACGGGUGAGUAAUACUUAGGAAUCUGCCUAUUAGUGGGGGACAACGUUUCGAAAGGGACGCUAAUACCGCAUACGCCCUACGGGGGAAAGCAGGGGAUCAUUUGACCUUGCGCUAAUAGAUGAGCCUAAGUCGGAUUAGCUAGUUGGUGGGGUAAAGGCCUACCAAGGCGACGAUCUGUAGCGGGUCUGAGAGGAUGAUCCGCCACACUGGGACUGAGACACGGCCCAGACUCCUACGGGAGGCAGCAGUGGGGAAUAUUGGACAAUGGGGGGAACCCUGAUCCAGCCAUGCCGCGUGUGUGAAGAAGGCCUUAUGGUUGUAAAGCACUUUAAGCGAGGAGGAGGCUACUUUGGUUAAUACCUAAAGAUAGUGGACGUUACUCGCAGAAUAAGCACCGGCUAACUCUGUGCCAGCAGCCGCGGUAAUACAGAGGGUGCGAGCGUUAAUCGGAUUUACUGGGCGUAAAGCGUACGUAGGCGGCUUUUUAAGUCGGAUGUGAAAUCCCUGAGCUUAACUUAGGAAUUGCAUUCGAUACUGGGAAGCUAGAGUAUGGGAGAGGAUGGUAGAAUUCCAGGUGUAGCGGUGAAAUGCGUAGAGAUCUGGAGGAAUACCGAUGGCGAAGGCAGCCAUCUGGCCUAAUACUGACGCUGAGGUACGAAAGCAUGGGGAGCAAACAGGAUUAGAUACCCUGGUAGUCCAUGCCGUAAACGAUGUCUACUAGCCGUUGGGGCCUUUGAGGCUUUAGUGGCGCAGCUAACGCGAUAAGUAGACCGCCUGGGGAGUACGGUCGCAAGACUAAAACUCAAAUGAAUUGACGGGGGCCCGCACAAGCGGUGGAGCAUGUGGUUUAAUUCGAUGCAACGCGAAGAACCUUACCUGGUCUUGACAUAGUAAGAACUUUCCAGAGAUGGAUUGGUGCCUUCGGGAACUUACAUACAGGUGCUGCAUGGCUGUCGUCAGCUCGUGUCGUGAGAUGUUGGGUUAAGUCCCGCAACGAGCGCAAC
RNAcentral lists this ribosomal RNA (1054 nucleotides) under Acinetobacter sp. 574B5_12EESBL. RNAcentral describes it as "bacterial SSU rRNA". It matches the Rfam family "Bacterial small subunit ribosomal RNA", at positions 53 to 1102 of the family's 1533-position model. Lineage: Bacteria; Pseudomonadati; Pseudomonadota; Gammaproteobacteria; Moraxellales; Moraxellaceae. The record is from RNAcentral.